CCUACGGGUGGCAGCAGUAGGGAAUAUUGCUCAAUGGGGGCUACCCUGAAGCAGCAACGCCGCGUGGAGGAUGACGGUUUUAGGAUUGUAAACUCCUUUUGUUAGAGAAGUUAAGUACGGUAUCUCACGUAUAAGCACUGGCUAACUCGGUGCCAGCAGCCGCGGUAAUACGGAGGGUGCAAGCGUUACUCGGAAUCACUGGGCGUAAAGAGUGCGCAGGCGGGCUUGUAAGUCAGAUGUGAAAUCCUGUAGCUUAACUAUAGAACUGCAGUUGAAACUAUGAGCCUAGAGUGUGGGAGAGGUAGGUGGAAUUCGUGGUGUAGGGGUAAAAUCCGUAGAUAUCAAGAGGAACACUGAUUGCGAAGGCGGCCUACUGGAACAUUACUGACGCUCAUGCACGAAAGCGUGGGGAGCAAACAGGAUUAGAUACCCGAGUAGUC
Molecule: ribosomal RNA, 440 nt
Filed under: uncultured bacterium
Lineage: Bacteria
Description: partial 16S ribosomal RNA
Rfam family: Bacterial small subunit ribosomal RNA
Source: RNAcentral